This 1242-nucleotide long non-coding RNA is filed under the name Oryctolagus cuniculus (rabbit). Its description in RNAcentral is "lncRNA (ENSOCUG00000037998.1)". Lineage: Eukaryota; Metazoa; Chordata; Mammalia; Lagomorpha; Leporidae. The record is from RNAcentral.
AUGGGAGACCAGGAAAAGCACCUGGCUCCUGGCUCCUGGCUCCUGCCAUCGGAUCAGCGCGGUGCGCUGGCCGCAGCGCGCCGGCCGCGGCGGCCAUUAGAGGGUGAACCAACGGCAAAGGAAGACCUUUCUCUCUGUCUCUCUCUCUCACUGUCCACUCUGCCUGUCAAAAAUAAAAAAAUAAAAAAUAAAUUAAAAAAAAAAGGAAAAAAAAAAAAGCCGACAGGGAGGGUGCGGGAAGCCCUGGCCCUGCAGGGUUGGGGGCAACAAGGGAACGGGGCACGUUCCACCCUCACGUGUGGCCCACGCCUGCGCCCUGUCUCCUGCAGACGCCUGUCACCACCACCCAACCCCAGAUGCUGCACACCAUGGGACGGGCUGGUGGCUGGGGUGCAGUGGCGAGCUGUGCCCCGCAGCCUCUGGUGGGGUGAGGAGGGCCACCCCUCCUCCUACCCCAGGGCUCCCGCUCUCUCCCAGCCACCUGUGCCUCAGUCUCCGCUCCCGGCUCUGGGCUCAGCGAGCCGCAGAGGGGCCAGGCACACAGGGCAGGGUGCCCGACCCUCCUCCAGGCACCCAAGUCAGUGCGAUGGGUGCGGGGGGAAGGGCUGCCCAUGCUCCCAUGGCCAGAGCAGAGCUCCGGGGCGUCCAGCGCAGCGCAGCCAGCCAGUGCCGACAGCGCACCUCCCCUGCGCCAGCAGCACGCGGACACAGUCCCGUGCACUCCCCGCCCCGGGGAGCCCCUUUUCUGAGGGCUCAACUCCGCGGGAACAGAGCGUGCUUUCCCAGCACUCUGUCUGCACCACGUUCAGGACGGACACACGCUCUCUCCAGAAGGCCAGCGGGGGGGCAGAGAACAGCCAGCUGCUCCUGCUGCACUGGACCCCCUGCCGCCCAGCGCACCACACGCAGGCAUCUCGCUGUUCCGAGCUGAGCCAAUCACCCGGGGGGACCCAACAUCCCAAGGGGGAGUCUUGGCUCCCCAAAUCCCAGGGCUGCAUUCUGCACUGCUCCGGGGAGGGGUGGGGGUGGGGGCGGGAACGGGGCGGGGCAGCCGGAGCCUGCACCUGCUGUCACAGCAGGCCGGGAGCAUGGUGGUCCCCAUGGUGGGGACUGGAGAACUCCCCUGCACCUGCCACACCACCCAGGAGUCUGACUACACAGCCUCUAGCUGCGCAAGCCCCAGUGAGCCAUGGAUCUGACUCAUCAGGUAACCAACACUCAGGCACAAAGCAGUUUCCUUAG